This 274-nucleotide ribosomal RNA is filed under the name uncultured bacterium. RNAcentral's name for it is "partial 16S ribosomal RNA". It matches the Rfam family "Bacterial small subunit ribosomal RNA", at positions 523 to 796 of the family's 1533-position model. The record is from RNAcentral.
AUACGGAGGGUGCAAGCGUUAUUCGGAAUUACUGGGCGUAAAGCGCAUGUAGGCGGCUUGACAAGUCAGAUGUGAAAGCCCACGGCUCAACCGUGGAAGUGCAUUUGAAACUGUUAGACUUGAGUCCGAGAGAGGGAGGCGGAAUUCCUGGUGUAGAGGUGAAAUUCGUAGAUAUCAGGAAGAACACCGGCGGCGAAGGCGGCCUCCUGGAUCGGUACUGACGCUGAGAUGCGAAAGCGUGGGGAGCACACAGGAUUAGAAACCCCGGUAGUCC